This 199-nucleotide ribosomal RNA is filed under the name uncultured bacterium. RNAcentral describes it as "partial 16S ribosomal RNA". It matches the Rfam family "Bacterial small subunit ribosomal RNA", at positions 1301 to 1500 of the family's 1533-position model. The record is from RNAcentral.
CAGGCUGCAACCCGCCUGCAUGAAGUCGGAAUUGCUAGUAAUCGCGGAUCAGCAUGCCGCGGUGAAUACGUUCCCGGGCCUUGUACACACCGCCCGUCACACCAUGGGAGCCGGUAAUACCCGAAGUCAGUAGUCCAACCUCGUGAGGACGCUGCCGAAGGUAGGAUUGGCGACUGGGGUGAAGUCGUAACAAGGUAUC